CCAGAUUGAGGGGAGCUACACCUGAGGAUAAGUACUCAAGGAGCCUCAUUUGGAUCUGACGCAGAUGAUGAGAUCUUAGACUUGAACAUGAAGCCAUAAUUGGAUGAGACAUUUGGGGUUCCUGGGGUGAGGGGGGAAGAAAACACGUUUGCUACCAAGGAUUUUGUAUGAAGUCAUCUUGUAGUCAGAGCAAAAGUUGUGGGAGGAAGCAGCAGAAGAUGAAGAUGAAAUAGACUGGGGCCUGAUUACGACAUAUCUUGAAGACAAUGGACUCUUUUUUUCCUGGUGAAGCCUAUGUGGAACUCUAACAGCUGAGGGUGCUGCCACCACAUGCCCGUAAGUGCACGACCUUUCUGGUCUGGCCGCCCAUCAUCCAUCCCGGUGCGAUCGAAGUUUCCUCUCUUAUAUCCCUCAAGGAGCAGGAGUGGGAGGCAAACGUGUCCACAGUCAGAGGUGAUAAUACCUAACGGCUAAACCAGACAUUUGUGGAUGCUCCAGGCAAGUGGUGUCGCGAGCGUAGAUCUGGGUCCAACCCCCUUCAUUUUAUCGGAGAAGAGGCUGAGUCCCAUGGAAGUUUCUAACAACAAGGAAGCUUACAAGUGGCAGGACUGGAACUUGAUCUUAUGUUGACUGACUUGAAGCCAGAGAAUAUUCAGCGAUGCUGGUUACAUCGACUGCUUCUUUAGCAAGAAGAAGAUAAGUAGAAGAGCGUUCGGUUUGGACAGGAGACCUGGCUUUCU
Molecule: non-coding RNA, 740 nt
Organism: Microcebus murinus (gray mouse lemur)
Lineage: Eukaryota; Metazoa; Chordata; Mammalia; Primates; Cheirogaleidae
Source: RefSeq, a predicted model, not a curated record